This 253-nucleotide ribosomal RNA is filed under the name uncultured bacterium. RNAcentral's name for it is "partial 16S ribosomal RNA". It matches the Rfam family "Bacterial small subunit ribosomal RNA", at positions 524 to 776 of the family's 1533-position model. The record is from RNAcentral.
UACGGAGGGUGCAAGCCUUACUCGGAUUUAUUGGGCGUAAAGGGCGCGUAGGCGGCUUGAUGUGUCAAAGGUGAAAUCCCUCGGCUCAACUGAGGAACUGCCUUUGAAACUGUCUGGCUUGAGGCCGGGAGAGGGUAGCGGAAUUCCCAGUGUAGCGGUGAAAUGCGUAGAUAUCGAGAGGAACACCUGCGGCGAAGGCGGGUUGCUGGGCCGACACUGACGCUGAGGAGCGAAAGCGUGGGGAGCGAACAGG